RNAcentral lists this ribosomal RNA (395 nucleotides) under Scopula subpunctaria. RNAcentral's name for it is "eukaryotic LSU rRNA". Lineage: Eukaryota; Metazoa; Arthropoda; Insecta; Lepidoptera; Geometridae. The record is from RNAcentral.
UCCUCCGCUUACUAAUAUGCUUAAAUUCGGCGGGUAAUCCUCCCUGAUCUGAGGCCAGCGUUAUAAGUGGAGGCAGACACGAUAUCCGUCGGCGCGCGAUGGACGCGCCCUUCGGACGUCGAGUCCGCCUACUGGAGUUAUCGCCGCAAUACGCGUUCCGGUGCACGCAGUUCACACGACUCUUGUACAAAGUGUAUGGCUACGGGCACUCUCGCGAAUUGCGUGUGUGCGAUCGCUCACUCUCUAUUUCGAUAUUUAAACGGACCGUAGAGAUCGAUAUAUAUCGCGCUCUUCGGAACCGUCAUAUGCAUACAUACAUACGCAGUGUGGUUUUUGUUAUUAUGCAGCCGGCCCUCAGACAGGAGUGGUCCUGGAUGUGUCUCCACGGACCGCAA